UCUUUAGUAUUUGUCUUAAUGCUUACAUGUGUUUACUGUGCACAUUUCUGUAUCCAUGUGAGCCAAUUCUGUCUGGUUUCCAUUGCCUUUGGUAGAAAGACAUACAUGGUGGUGUAGAUCUAUUAGUGGAAAAUGCAUUAGAUAUUUGCCAACAUCAUAUGCUUAAAACUCAGAAGAAAUAAUAGAAAGGAAAACAUCCUUUCCAGGUUGACCUCCUGUGCUCAUCACCAUGGUAUCUCUACGUGUUCAUAAGAACACUGAUUGUGGUGUCUGUUCCCUCUCACACAUGGUUCUUUUUUCCUCUCCUCUUUCCUCUCCCCAUGCAAGAGUUACAGGGUGGAACUUGGUUCAUUUUGAAAUGCUAUUACUUUGUAAUUGGCAAUGCAGUUUUCUUAGUGAGUCAUAUCAAGAAAAGGCACCUUUUAUUUUGAAUGUAGAGUAGCUUCGUUCUGGUGAGAACAGGACCGUAGUCUUUCAGAGACAUAUAAGGAAAAAUGAAAUUGGGAAAAAAUAAGUUUUUAAGAAAAGUUUAAUCACUGAAGCACUGAGAAUGACACCAAUCAGCAUCUCCCUAUGUCACACCUUUAAAUGAGACUAACAUGUUUACAAAGUGACACAGCAGAUAAAGAAAUUACAGUGACUUCAGGACCUGAGCAUCAUUGUCCAGUGCCAUUAAAAAGAGUAAAAUCCAUCUGUGGGAACCAGGUUGGGCAGCAUUUUGUCUGUUAAAACCAUAAUGUCAUGGCAGCAUUGAAGUACGUACAGCUUUGAAAACAAACUGGGAAGACUGGUGGUGCUUUCUUAACCCAGUAUUAGGCACACAGGUCUCGCUCUGAAGUGUAGCAAGCUGAAGUGCAUCUGUUUCCAAUGUCCCAGAUGGUUCUUGUACAAUCUCUAUAACUUCUUUCAGUCUCCUAUUCCCUUCCCGGUUUUCCUUCCAAAAUGCCACUGACUAUGAAUAAUUUAAUUCGCCUGCCAGAGUUCUCCAUCACAUUCUCCAGCCUUAAGAGAGUAACUUUCUAACACUGUAUUUCAAUGUCUUCUGGCAGAAUAUUUUCCAUCUGCUUUUUCGAUGUGUGAGUGUGGGAGGGGCAGAGGAGGCUGGGAUAGCGGGGGUGGUGUCAAGGAACGACGCCAAGACAUACUGCUCUCGUUGAAAUGAUCUACUGCUUCCUUUCUGUUUCCACAUGCCUCGGUACACCGCUUUCACUUCCCUUCGGUGUGACUGCUGUUCCUCACUUCUCCUUGAGGAAGUAAAGGACUAUAUGGACGUGGCCUGAUAAGCAGAGAGGAGUGGCUGUUUCUCUACACCUUUCCUGGAACAGAAACUAGCUGAAGAAUUACCACAAAGGCUGACAGUUUGCAGUUCCAGCCUAUACUUACUAGCCUACCAGUGUCACUGUGCUAUGAGCAUAGCAACAACAAUUUUAAAGGUCUGGGAACUUGAUGUAGAACCUGAGGCAUCUUGGGAUUACGUGAGUCAGGAGACUACUUGAAUGGUCAUGUGCUCUGACUUCUUUUCUACUUGUUGUCCCAGUGAGAGAAACCCCAGGAGUAAGGCUGGUAGCUCUCCAUUCUUAGAAAAUCUCACUAGUAAUGUCUUUGCUGGCCACAGUCCUCUGUGGUUCAGAUCUCUUUGAAGGCAGAGUAGGAUAAUGUUCCUUUGCACAUUCCUGCUUCACCUUCUGGUCUGAACAGCUACAGCAAUGGCCUGGACUUCUAAGGUUUUUGGCAGCACCUUCAUUCCGGAAUGCUGUUAUGAGUACACAUGUUUGCAUUUUAAGUUUUAUGAGGAGAAAGGGUUUCAAGCACUUUUACUUAGUGGCAGACAUAGCCUUGGUCACUGUGCCCUACAUGACUGUUGGAGCCACAAGGUGAUCCAGCAGUCAAAACAGGCCACUUAUCCUAUCACUCACAUGCCAGAGGCCACCAAGAACUUUGUUCACGCUCAGGACACUUUCCUGGCUCCCUAGCAACUGCCCUGUGAGACGUAAACUGCUAACUGCACUAAAUAGAAAACAUACACUCACCAUUUCUCACCUUACUCUCCCAGAGUCAAAACUCACUGCAGUAGAAAGUAGGACCUUCAUAUUUGCAAUACAUCCCUCCCACUCCCACCCUCCCUCAAACACACCUUACAGCAAACCUAGUAUCAGGCAACAUAAACUACAAAAUGCUUUCCUCAGAGCAGUCACUGCCUUGUAUCAAAAUAUGAAAUCCUAGCUCACAGAACAGAUUUAUAAAGGCAUGCUGUGAAAAGUCAGUAGGAAUUAGGCAUCAGGGCAUAUCCACAAAUAGUCUUUGGUAAGGAUUCAGACCUGGGCACCUGAUAUUUUCUCAGGUCCUGAACUUCACUUACUGGGUUUGCCCUGUUUCUUUUCCAUCUGCAAGGUGUGGAAGAAAGGCAACAGUUUUCUCUUGUACCAUUUUACAGGCAUUGUAAACCCUCCAGUUUACUUCAGUUAUAUAAACACUUUUCCCAAUGGAGCAAAACAAUUCGGAUUCAUGCAGUUGUCUCUAUGCUCUGGGUUAAAAUGUUUCAGAAGCUUGAUCUGAAAUGCAACAAGGGUAAAACAAUGAUUCACUUACUUGUGUUCAGAGCUUGUUUUACUGAGCAUUGCAAUAGUUUCACUUAUUCCAGCAACACCCAAAUAUGUUCAGAUGCAGCUGACACUGCGCCAUUGUGAACUUCUGUUACUUUGUUUAAAUUCUUCCGGGUGGUCCAGUUGCAAAGUGGAGAUCCAGAUAAGCCUGCAUACCAAGGUCAGAGGUGUUUACAUCCCUAAGUUCAGCCUGAAAAAAUAAAAAUGUGGGAUGGAAUUUUAUUCCAAACUUUUCCUUCCCUGACAUUCAGGGUGGCAGCAGCUGUUAGUGCUGAUGGUAAUAAUUGUGCCCAAGAAGAUCCAGCAAGUGACAGAUUGUUAAAGAUUAUGUAGGGUGACCAUCUUUAAAAUGCUUCUAAAGUAUCUUAUUAUUAUUAUUGGUAUCAUUAAUUCUCAUGUGUAAUACCAGUGACCAGAUUUCAACCCCAUCACUCACAAACAGCCCAUCACCCGAGAAGAAAUCAGACUGCUUAGUUUAGGUAGAGCAGCAAAUCCUUCACUGGGAGGAAAAAAAAUUAAUUUUGCUGUUUGUGUUCAACAUGGGAAUAUUUCCUUCAGUCAUGGAAUACAGACUAGCAGACUAUUACAAACAUUGUUUUCUGCAUAUUUCCUGAUAUUCCAGAAUGAAUAAGAUAUGGCCAGAGUGUUGCAAAUACUUAUGCAAAUGCUGACUUUUAGACAUGCAGGUAGUCCAGUGAAAUUCAACAAGGACUGUGAGAUGCAAACGAAAAGCGAUGCUGAUAUUCAGAGAGAAAAAAGCCAAACAAACACUGCUUUCUGAGUUGCUACUCAGAGAUGUGAGUUAGUGAUGACAUUGUUGAUGUAAGAACAUCUCUCCUAGGCAUACUUAAGAAGCUGGUUACCUUUCGUUCAGUUUUCUGGAAGAAAUCCCACAACAGAGACAUGGAUUUCAGAUCAUGAAAUCUGAAGUCCAAACACCUUUGAAUAGUGAUCUUCCCAGGAGAUGUUUAGUAUGGCUGCUCAUGGAAAAAUCUCUUUAUAUUUCAAGAUCAGCCCUGCAGCAUGGAGGAUCCCUUGGCAUGGUUCCCAAGGAAUGUGUAUUCCCAUAAGGCAUUACUGGAAAAUGUAUGACAAUUACUGUACUGGAGGAAUCUCUCCUACGGAUGCCACUCUUACCACAGAAUUUAAUGAACUAACAGGGCUGCUGUAAUUUCUUUUACUUCCAUAUCUACUUAAAUUCAAGCUGGGCGCACUUUUAAGAAUAUCCUUCUGUGUACUGAAUUUCAUUAUGACAGUGAAACACACCAUAAGUGCAUGGUUCAGACUCAGAAUUUGCCUCAAUAUUACUGGUCAUUCCUUCUUCUUACAUCCCUCUCCAAAGCCAGAAGUGUCUCGGCAGUUGCCCAAACCUCUAUAUAAAGUACAGAGGCAAGUAUAUGACUAACUUAGACUGGACUCACAUUUUAGAUGACUAAAAGUAGUGAGGUGAAUCCUACCUGUUUAGGUUUGCUGUCUCUAUGUAGCCAGUUUGCGUCAUAUGGAAGAUAAAUGCUACAACAAACACCACCCUUGUAAGAUUCCAGAACUUCAAAACACAGCCAUGUGAAGUUCUUUUCCUGAGUUUUUUUUGUCUAAACUGGGUGUGAAGUUUAAAUAUUUCACUGAUGUUUGAGUAAUGUCUUCGUCAUUGGGAAGACAUUUUUAAUAAGGUAAAUAUACAAGUACAUUUUUGAAAAGCUCAGAUGCUCACCUCUUCUGCUAAAAAUAUUGAUUAGGUCUUCAACACCUUCUUGUGAAGAAAAGGAUAUUAUUGUUACAAAUGCAUUCAGCUGAGAGGAAAGACAGUGAGACUAGCUAUAAUUGUCUUGGCUCAGAGUCUAAACCCUUGAUUUGCAAUUGGUUAUUAUCUUUUUUUUGGCCUCAAGAAUGUUGAAUCAAGAAUUUUCUCUAUCAGUGCUUCUUGGCUAUAAUGGUAUAAAUAAGUUAGGUAUGGUCAUUCACUUCAUAUGUUCAUGCUUUUGGGGAUAACUAAGAUAUUUAAAAGCUCAGUACUGUCUAUUCAGCAACUGAUGCAAAGAUUUUUUAAAUGAAAGACUUCUGUUGUUGUACCUUUUUUUUUUUCCCCUCAUUUUAUUCCUCCACAAAAGAGAGAGUAGCACAUGAAUCUUACACUGUUUGAUAUUUUGCACAUGACUAACAAAAAUCUCAGCUUGGAAACUUGGGAAAAUAAAGUAUGACAUUUGCUUAAAGUCUGCCUGUAUCGCAAAAUAGUAAAAGCUUUUCUGGCUUUUCACCUCCAAUCUGGAUUCAAGUCAGAAGAGAGACAAGUUUAGUUAGAUGGCAUGUUUCAUAUUUCUUCUUCCCUGGAAGAAACUGAAUAACUCCACAUGGAUUCUUUGGCAAUCCUUAGUGACAGCAGUCCUGGUAAGAGAGAACAUGUAGGAGAUGAUCGUGCAAUAAUGCUUUUGAACAUGACAGCUUGCACUUACUUCUUAAAAUAAAGAAACAAACAAACCAAGAAUGUUUUAUUUUAAAAUGCCUAGUACUAAUGGAAUAUUCCCCUGUUGUCAAACUGCAGCAUUGCUUGCACUGGGAUCCCAUUUUCUUAACAUACACUGGCAUGAAGUACUUUCCAAAAUAGCAUCUAUCUUAAAGUGGUUACUUUCUUUUCUGUUCUCCAGUGAAACUUACAUAAUAACUUCCUGUUAAACAGGAAAACCAAUAGCAUCUUUAUGAAUCUUUCUUUUUUCAGUUUACCAAAAAAAAGAAUAAGUGGCUUGGUGUUCCUCUUAAUAUGGGAAUGUUUUUGAAAAUACAUGUUAAAAUGAAAAUUUUAGUGUUUUCAAUAAAUGCCAGAAUAUAGACAGAAACAUUUUCUGUUGAUACAUUCUAAGAACUCCCCCUCCACAACCUUGUUUGAUAGUAACACUGCUGAAAGAUUUUUAAUAUGUGUCUGACUUUAUUCAUUUUAUUCAAAACCAAAGAUGAUGUUCAUUUGCCAAUUUUUGGUUCUGGCUUGUUUUUUUUUUGUGACCCUGGCUCAGUUAUUAGUAUUUCCUUAAUUGACGAGCAAUCCAUUUUGUUGCUGCAUUUUUGGUGCUUCAUCAGUAAGUAAUAUUUUGUUUAUUCUGCAUUGGUCUAGCCAUCCAAAUGAUACUUCAGAAACAGUCAUUGCCCUAUACAUACCCGUCAAUGGGCAACAAAACUCAGUAGACUUCACCUCAUGGCAUAAGUCUAUUAUUUCUUCCUAGUUUGCGCUACCUUAAUUUUAAUUUUUGCUUCAUUUUCAGUUCCACCAUAAGCAUUAGUGGAAAUUUUCCUGCCUAUGUACAUAUUUCAUAUUAGGCUAUCAUUUAAUAAACUCAAAAAUAUCAGUAUUCUGAACCUGAGCCGAAAACCACAUUGAAGACUCAUUCUUUCCUUAAACUAAAUGUGAACUAUUUAUAUGCCUUUGGAUUAUAGAAGAGUAUUAAACCAGCUACUGGUUCAUAAUACUGCUUUUACCAAAAGCUUCCAACCCUGCACAGAUCACAAACAGCACAUAGUUUAACUGUCCUUCAGUACUGCCACAUCCAGGUGAAACUACCUUGAGACAUUGGCUUGACUAAAAUGGAGAGAAGCUGCUUUCUGUUGUUUUUCCUUUUCCUUAAAUUUUCUGAAGAAAAAUAAAGAAAAAGGAAAAGGAAAAGAAAAAAAAAAAAAGAAGACAGGGAUUGUAGAAAGGCUUGAGCAGGAAAGGAAAUUAAAAAAAGUUAGAUCAAAUUAGAUCAAAUUGCUUUAGAAGGACUGAUCCAAAGAGGAUCAUUGCACUGGAAGGACUGAUAAGACAAUGCUGUUUUAGAAGUGGGUGUUUAGUCCUAGAAGUUUUGAGAUCAAAGCUAAAGGGUGUAGGAGAAUGAGCAACAAAUUGUGGGAAAAUGAUCCCAAACACUUUGUAGUUUAUACUGAGAAAAAGUGAUGAGGAAACUGAGACAGGAAAAUAUAUAUGAGAGUAUUUCCUGCAGUUUGCCUAAACCUUCUCCUUUGCCCAAGGCUAUGUGGAUCUCGUGGAUGUGUACCCAGCAGAGCGGCAUAGGGGAGUGCCCUAAUGCAAGGAGCUCAAACAACAUUCUGCUGGUGGACAAAAAUGGUUUAACAGGGCAUAUCAGUGGGCAUAAAUGGUGUGAUAGGGCAUAAAAGCGACUCAGAAAGCAAACCACAUAGAGGCAGCGAUUUUCCACUGCCUCUUGGUGGAGACAACUGCCAGCUGUGUGGGUGAGCUCCUUCUUGCCACUCUGCUUCACUAAAACAAUGCGAGUGGGUGCAGGCUCCUGAUUUGAUGAUUUGAAGAGACCUGUUCUCAUCUUGCACAAGUUUAAAACAGUUGAAGACCACUGACUUACAAUAAAUUGUUCCUAAAUGAAUCCAACACAGGUGAAAAAAGGAUUAGUUCAUGAUCUUGUCUGUAGCAAAUCAUGGACACAGAGCCCAUGAGAGGCACUUUUUAUUCACUUUCCCAUUACCAAACUUCUCAAUGCUUCUUUUUAUUGUUACAUUUUCUUCUUCUGCAGCUAGUGGAUAAGAUGGCAGAAUUCCCGCUAAUUUAUGUAUUAUGUGUAAGUAUUGUGUAUCUUUUCAUGAAGUCCAGAAGGCUUUUUCUCCUGCUGUACUAUACCUGUCUGCAAACAACACCACUCUGGUUUCUAAUGUUGAGUAUUUAUUAGAAAUGCUUUUACAUGAGCUGGCAAGGAGACAACAGAGCAACCCUAUCUACAGUAAAAGGAAAUAUUAAUUUCAAAAGCAUUGUGUGAAAACAAAAAGGAAAUCAGCGCUAAAAUAAAUCACUUAAAAAUAUGCUACAGAUUCCUUGAUAUGUCUUUCCGUCAUCUGAAGAUAAUGCAAGCUAGUUAUUAAAAAAACGCAAAUAAUAUUUUCCUAGGUAGAUCACUACAACCUCUUGGGACUUGGCUGACGUAUUUACAUAUGUAUCAUAAUAAUUAUCCUGCCAUUUUCUGACUGUUGUUGUAUCAGUUUAGCUACAUUUGUUUUAACAUUGAUACUCAAAAUAGUUGCCUUGAUUAUUCUUAUUUUACUUUCCUGUCUUAACUGGUGGGCACCAAUACAUGGAGCAAAUACUCAAGAACAUGUUAAUUCUCUCUUUUGCAUCCUAUAUUGCUUUUUUGUAAAAAGAUAAAACAGAUUUUCAGAGACAAUAUGCUAUUACUGUAAAGCAUCAUCUCAAAGAAUCACAGCAUAGUUCAAUGGAGUAACCACAGUUAUUCUCUGAGAGAGCUCCCUUCUGAUAGGGACAGGUAAUGCUAUGAUUUUCCCAAGGCCAGCCACUCAAAAAUCAUGGAUUAAUUGCAUCUUCAACAAAUGCAAAAUAAUAAUAAAAAAAUUACAACUUUUUUUUUUUUUUUUUUGGGUUUUGAAGCCGUAUGUGUGCUCAUAGCACCCUUUCAAACUCUUUUUUUUUUUUUUUUCAGCCAAGAGUCCUUUUUUUUUAAGUUUUCAAACAGAAACUGGAAUUAUGUGUUUGCUCCUCAACCUCAUCUCCAAGAGUGGAGGUUUAAGAAAACACAUUAAAGAGAGGAAGACUGCAUAUAAAUUGCAGGAUCUGGGAACACGCAUAUAAGCAAAUCAUGGAAGAUGUAACAUGCAUUUCUAAACUAUAAAAUAUAUCUUUGGCACCAAGAAAAUUAUGCAAAAUUUAAAUAAUGAAAUUUAGAUGUUGCUAGCUGAUCUUUGAAAGGGGUUGUACAAGUAUUCAAAGUGCCAGUGUUUGAUUGUUCAAUUUAAUAAAAGCAGUAAGAAAUAUGUUUCUCAUUUCACUGCCUCUUGCUAUUCAUACAGGCUAAUUCUCACUCUGCCAGUGGCUCAUUUCUUCAAUUCCAGGAUGUACCUUCAUUAUUGUUGAUGUAUUAUAUUACACAUUCUUCUUUGGCUACUGCAGUAAUAUGCAAUGAAACAAUGAUCUUACAGAAAUAUUGUGUCUGAAGAAAACCACAAACCCCUAAGAAUGCUUUUAAACAAUGGGAUUCAUUAUUUAACCAAAGCAAAACUAAUGUGACAGUGUCUCCAAAGCAUUUUACUUGAAAAUCACACUAAUGGAGAACUUGGCAGAAAAAUACAGUUGUCAGGAAACUGUGGAUUGUCAGAGACCUGUUAUCUAGACAAAUAAAACCAAACAAAACUGAAGGAAAAUAUAGACAGGAACGUCACCUCCUGCUGUUCCUUCACCAGGAUUACUACCAUUCGAAAGACCACUUUCCAACACAGCAAUGAUGUAAACAGAGGUGAAAUUUAUACUGCUUCGUCUAAAAGACUACAUCACUUCUGCAGAGGAAACAAUAUUGCUUGUCUCAUAAGAACCUUUGGUGGAACCGGGCAUGUACAGCAAACUCCAGAGAACCCCUAUGGGUUAGUGGUGACAGUUUGCAGCAGUUUGUAAGGAACUUGGAGAAAAAAGUUUGUGUGAAAAACCUGAAGGAAGCCUCAAUCUUUUUUUGCUGAGAGCUCCUCUAGGGUAUAGCUAGAACACCCUUGUAAAUAAGUAAUAGGGACACUAGGUUUCUUUAGAAGCAUGUAGCCCUAGUCACUACCCAGCAUAUAUGAAACAUGGUGGCAAUGAGGAAAGCUAGUGAGAAGUACAAGAAAACAGGUGAGUGUUGUUAGCAGAAAAACAAACCAGCAGUUACAGCCCAAAUAGGUGACUCAUAUAAUAGGAAAUGAGAUAAUUAACAGAAAUAGUGCCCCAAACUGAGGACAGUGGAAAAACUGAAUUCUGUCACUCUAAACUGGAAGAGUAUCUGUGGUGACAUUGUUUAUCAGAAAGCAAAGAGCAACAAGCAACAGUGUUGGGAAACUUGUUAUUACACGUAAUUUGGCAAGCAUUAAAAAUUUCUUAAUUUUUGGCAGGGCUAUGUCAUGGAACUUGUACCUCCAGGGGGUAGAAUGGUCAGAGGAACAAAUUUAAACUUCAGCAGUGAUCUGCAAAUGACUAACAUUAAUGAAACAUUCAGAGAAAAGUGCAGAAUAAAUGUGGAUGCUCAAAAUGAAGGAAUGCACAGGGCAGGAGAGAGGCUGAAAGCUGAGGAAAAUAGGCAAUAUAGAGCAACAUAUAUACUGCAGAAAGUAAUAUGAAGUCUGAAGAAAGAAAAAAACAGUGUCUGGGCAAAAAUACAAGAGACCAAACAACCCUAGCCUCUUACUACCCAGUUAAUUGGACAGCUUCUUCAGGAGGAAGAAAGUAACUGAGGAGGUGAAAACUGCACCUGGUGAGAAAGCUUUUUGUAAUGUCAUUUGUACACACCUUGCCAGGCAGCUGCUGUGCUUGCUGUGAUGUAAAAGGAAGAAAAUAACUGUUUUAGGUGUUGCCUGACAAUGAUUUUGUUUGUGGUUUUUGUUUGGUUGGUUUGAUUGUUUGUUUAUUUGUUGUUUGUUUUGGUUCUUUCUUUGUUUUUUUUUUUUUUUUCCAUUUCUUUUUCACAUGAAAAGAAUAAGAAAAUUUUAAAUAGUUAUUUUUCUGAUGAAUGCAAUGAAGGAACAAAGGAGAAAAGGUGACAAAAGUGGUUUUAAAGAAACAGCAUUUUUGAGAGAAGAACAGGUGAUGCUGUAGGAAGCAUGAAAAAACGAUCAAUAAACACAGAUGUAUGUGAAGUUUUGGAAGAUAAAUUCAGGAGCUACUGACCUUAAAAAUGUCUAAAGCUAACUGUUCCAGUCAUGAUAAAAUUUCAGUAAAUACAAAUCAAAUCAUAAGAGAGACAAAAAUUACAUUAAGAUUCCAUGCAUUUCAUAGAAAUUAUGAUCAGUACAAAGUCAGGCAGUUCUUUGUGCUUAAUAAAUACUUUGCAACAAGAGUAAUAAAUUCUAAUUGGAUUUGGGCUUUUUUUUUUUUUUUUUUUUUUUACAAGACAACUAAAGUGAUAGUUUAAUGAUUUACAGAGUUUAAUUGUGUUUCUCUAGAGAAAUGCCACUUACUAAAUAGCAUAACUGAAACUUCAAGUAAUACAGAGAAAUCAGCAAAAGGGAUGAAAACAAGUUCAUCCUGGAAUUAGAUCUCCAGCUAAGCAUUACUUUGUAUAUGUCAUGCACACAGAUACACAUUUUAAGAGUUCAAAUACGUUUCUGUUUCAAACGUCAACUGAAAAAGUUACUUAACAUUCUUAUUUUUGGAGCAUAAGGUUGCAAGGUAGCCCUUGAGUUUGAUUUUUUCUAAAGUAGAGGGUGCUCUCUCAAAUGCCAUAGCUCUGCAGUUUAUGUUUUAACUUUAAAACAACAAUUGCCAGCAGCCUUGUUCAUGUCACUUUGUUCUUCCCAUAAUAUAUCUUUUUGUUUCUCCACAAAUUAAAUUAUAAUUCAUAUUUCUCUCUCAGAAUUAGCUUCCCACAGAGAUCCUUAUUAUAGCAAAUGUAGUUGUUAUAACUAAUUUUAACAAUUUAGUGUAUAAGUUGGUAGAAAGUACUUUUCAUUUUUCUGCUAGUGAACAGAACUUAUUUUUAAAGGGAAUUUAAAUGUAUUAUAUGUACUGCAUGCUGACAAAUUUUUGCAUAUCUGCCAUUACAGUACAUUAAGCAUGUAGUAAGGCCACAAGUUAGGAUGUUAGCAGCAGACCCAAACAUGAAUUCGAAAGAACUAAGACUGAAGAGGAAGAAAUAAUACUUUUGUGAGAAAAACUAGAAUUAUGCUGAUAGAGGACAGGCAAAUGUAUUCUAAUAAUUAUUGAGAUUUCAAAGAAAAACUGCUGCCAGAAGGGUUAAAAAAAUCUUAUUAUGACAUACGGUGUUUACCUUACAGCCAGUUCCAAGUGACAUAGUAAAUACUAGGCUUUGUUUACAGAUAGAUAGACAGACUGAUAUAUCUGUAUUUUAACUUAUUCCUUAAGAUUAAGCAUAUCACUAAGCUGUCAGGGAAUAGUCAGGCAGGAGCGGCUGCUCUGGGUUGGGAGGAGCUGGCAGGACAGGCAGCACUCUGCUGUCACCAACAAAAAGGUGGAACCUUGCAUCACCUGCACAAGGUGAGCAGGUCAUGGAUGGUGGUAGUAGCUGGGGAUAUUUAUCCUCAAGUCACACUUUCCCAGGAGAGGGUGCAUGGCUGCUUGAAGGCACCAUCUCAGGGCCCGGGCAACCCCCCAGGAGGAGAGUGCAGAGCCUAUUGGGGUGCUUUGAGUCCUGACACAGGCAAUGUAUUUCUCUUGUCUUUUUCCACUUCUCUCUUUUUUAUUUUUCACAACAGGGUGUUUUCUUUCUCUUACAUAUAACUCUCACACACCACACUUUUUUCUUGCUAAACUUUUGUCUUGGCUUAAGGAAAAGUAGGUGUCAUAUAACUUUGGAUUUUACCUGUCAAUUCCCUAUUCCUCAGGAAUUUCAUGAUCUAUACUGGACUCCUUGGGUUAAAAAAAUGCUUUGGAAUAUUCUUCUUUUUUAGGAGGUAAAAUACCUUGUACAGAUAGGCAUCAGGCAUUUAUAUGUCACUAUUCUUUUGUGAACAAAGAAAGAAGCUCAUUAGUGUGCCUGGGGUCUGAGUCCCUCAAAGUCAGAAAAAUUUCCAGUCCUAACAAUCCCUUUUUUGCAUUCUCUAAGUCUUUGUUCAUGUAACUGGUUGAAAUAGGAUUGAUAGGAUGAAGCAAACUCAUGGCUUUUAGGUUCUCAAAUGUCCAAAUUGCUCUGUUAAGAACAGAAACCUUGAUGUUCCUUAUUACUUCACAAACAUAUAAAUGCUAAGAGGUCAUAUUUGAAGUAGAGAUUACACAAUGCCACCUUGAUCAUAACAAGCUUCUGUGUUUAUGAACAAAAUGUAUUUGCAGUCUUCAUCAGUAGAAACCCCAUAUAUCUAGAUGUCUUUACUCAGGAUCGUUCAUACCAUUUGGACAGAAACAUUCCAAACAACUGAAGAAAAAUCCAUUGAGAGAUACCUUUUUGCAUUCUUGUGAAAAGUACAUUUUUGUUACCUCAUUUUUGUUCUGAUACCACCAGAAGAUGACUUGAAGGAGAAUUUAUUAAUGUCUGAGUAACUUCAGCAAAAGUUUAUUUAACACAGCACAAGCACUCUAGAUUAAUUGCUCUGGCCUAUGAUGGAAACAAAUUUCUCAAGGCUCUCUGGAACACAAUGUAUGACAGUGUCCAAAAAGAGCAGCACAAAAAUCUGUCAGUCAAAACACACAAAAUCCAUAAAUACCAUUGUUUAGUGUAAACAACUCAUUGAAUUCACACAGUUUGAAUCCUUUCUUUUGUAAGUUCUAGCAAUAAAAGCUAGGAAAUAGCCAGUUUUUCAGGAACUUGAAAUCAUCACUCAUCUGUAAAUCUGACAGUCCAUGGCAGGGGAGGUAGGGUGUGGAACAUUUAAUUGCAACCAUUUCACUGCUUGUGGCAUUAAAAGCUCUUUUUAACUAAUUCAAAUCAUCGCCUGGCGGCAGUCUAGUAUGCUUCCUCUCUGCUCUCUAGGAAUAUUUGGUUUCCAUUUUAGAAUAUUUUGUUCAAUUAGGCUGUGUGAAAAGUAGGACACCAGACAAUAGAAACAUUUUUCUUUUCAGGAGUGAGGUCUUGGUACAUUUUUAAGAGAUCAAUGGCUGAGGGACUUGAAGUUACUCAUGUUACACAAUCUGAACCUCUUCUUCUCAGUGCAGCAUCCAGUGCUUUUUAUUUGCUCUUUAUUUAAUACUCAGUCUUCAUGUCAUGUAUUCAUGUACAAGGUUCAUACUGUUAAUUAAAUUGAUUGCUUCUUAAAGUGCACUAAUUGUGAAAUCACAUCACUUUACCUCCAAAUAGCUAAAAUAGAAACCACAAGCUAGGCAGAAAAAAAGUAUGUUAUUUUAGACAAGACAGAAAUGUUAAUUAAGAACUCUUGUAUGCUGAAGUUGAGAGACAGUAUCUUCAUGUCCUGUCCUGAACAAGAACAAUUGCCCAGACAGAUUUUUUAGAACUUUACCCAGAAAUAGCACUGUACUAGCUAGAAAAAAAAUUAAUAAUUCUUUCCAUUUCCUUUCCAGGUAUUAAAGGUUAUUAUAUAGAGAAUUAAAUUUCAUAUUGCCUAGAAGUACUGAAAAUGAAAUCGCAAUAUGUACUAAAUUGCAAAAACAACACAUGCCAAGUAAGCUAUGCAAAUAGUUGUUUGGCUAAAUUUUUCAUAACCUAAGCUGAUUCUGUCUCAAGUUGCUUUCCAAAUGGAAAUUGUCUGGGGACCAAACUAGAUCUUCUGUUCAUGAUAGAUGGCAGUCAUUUGCCUAUUACUUUUAUUAUUAUUAUUAAUUAAAUCUUUUGAAGUUUAUGGCUGAAAAUGUCUUUGUUUUUGCUUUUAGUUCCAUAUUACUUCAACUCAAGGUCAAAAGGAAAAAGUGAUUCUUAUAUUCCACCUCAAUUAUAGCAAUAAUUUCCCCACUGACUGAGAUAUUGAUUUUUAUCAUAGCUAUUUGAAGGUAGCAAAUUUAUAUAUAUAUACAUCUAUACACACACACACACAAAUACACAAACACAUAUAUACACAUGUGUAUAGAUGUAUUUGUUUAUACACAUACAGAGAUGCACAAACUGGGAAGAUUUUUAAAAGUAAAGAGACUGGUUUUGUACUAAUUUUCUACUAAGCGUCAAUAAAACCUGGUCAUUUGAAAUCCAGUUUGUAUCUUGAAUAAUCUUCUCCAUAAAGAUCAUAUUUAGGGCUAAUAUUCAAUAGAAUAAACUUGUAACCUCAAUGACAGAAAGAAAAAGGGCUUAGAGUCUGCUUCUUCACUUAUGCUGCAAAAUUCGUACACCUUAUUGGAAAAGAAAAAUGAAAAAAAUUCUGUUUCAUUUGUUGUAUUUUCUCUUUUUUACAUAUAGCAAUAAUGUAUCACUGAUGUUGGCAUCUUUAAGCUGUUGAUCAUUUUGUCCCAGUUGCAGAAACACAUCUUAAAACAUACAAUACAAGAGAAAUCAGGGCAUAAACAUAGCUAUUAGGUUAUGGUUCUCUUAGCACUUUUUAGGAGAGGAGGUGGAGGGAUUUAGUGUUAAGUAAAUUAAUAUUGUACUAUAAGAAUAAGAUGUAAAGUUAUGGGAGUAUAUAAGGAACCAAUCUGAUAUUUUUCAAGAGUAUAUCACUAUGAAUUGCAUUUUAUAAUUAAAAUAUAAUACAGUUUUUAGUCAUUUUCUGAGAAUUAAGAAUCUGUUUAACAACAAAAAAUUUUGCUAAAAAUAAGCAAUUGUACCUUCCUGAGUGGGAGGCAGUUCUUACCCGAUGCCUUCAACUACUAAUCUCUUGAUACUGAAACUUGUACAUCUUUUCUUUCCUAGGAUAAAAUUCCUCAGUUCCUCAGGGUCAAAAUGGCUCCUGUCUAUGCCAUAGACUCUUCUCACAGUAUUUUUCAAUGCUGCAUGCACAUGGCAUUGUCCAUCUGUCCAGAUCACGCCACUUCCUCUCUUUCAACCUGACCUUUUCUGCCCUAAUCCUCCUUUAGGUUUCAUUUUUCAUUCUUUUAAAAUCACUCCUUCUGCAGUUCCUCACUAUUAUUUUCCUAUCACUGCUUCCUAUCACUUCUGUCUUUUCUGUCCCUUUUCUAAAACCUAACCAAGUUCUGGUCCUGUUGUAGAUGGACUCCUGUCCCUACCCACACAAUCUUCCUGUUCCUGCUUCCCACCUUUGCAUAGAAAACUCUUGUUAUUGCCUCCAACCUACCACUGUCAUACUUCAAUCCAUGUUGAUGACUCAACUUUUCUUGCUAUGUCCUUACUACAUUUCAAUCAUGUAGAAGUUGUCUUGUUUUCUCCGCUUCCUGGCUCUUGAAUUUCCACUUCAUUUUCCUCAUCUGGCUCUGAAUCUGUGCCUGUUUUCCCUUAUGGAAAGCAGUAUUUUUAUCACAAUGCUUUGUUUAUCUCACUUUUUUCCGAUAGCCUCCAAAUCCUUUCUCUACUUAUAAUUUCUCUGUUGUUUUUUUUUUUUUUUUUUUUGCUUGUUUGUUUGUUUUUGUUCUAUAUAGGUUGUUUUAUUUUUUUUUUUUUUUUGCAAGCUGCUGCCUACUAGGCAAGAUUAACCGCACCUAAUUUUAGCUGUCUAAAAGCUAACAUGCAACCUGAGCUGUUCAUCCUAUUUUUUUUUUCUGAAGUUAAGAAAGAAAGAUAGUCAGUUUCAGAGACCGAUCCACGAUGCUUACAUAUCUCAGGAUAGGAGAACAUCACCUGUAGAGGUGAUUAUUUUUCUAUAUUAGCUAUCAGAAGAGUUUACACAGCUAGAUUAGAUUACAUGAUCAUUUUCAAUGAUUAAAAUUAAUCGUUCUAAUAUGUAUUCCAUUGUAGUUUCAUCCCCUGAUUUUCAUCUUGUGAUCUCCUACACUUAUUGCAUAGAGUUCUGUAUAAAUUAAUAUUUUCAAUUUCUGAAUUAAUUUAAAAAAAUGACUAAUUUCUCACAAGUCAAACUCUGUUUCUGAUUAUAUAAUCAAUUAUAUUUUUAUUUGUUUUGUUGAAAAUAUUUUUCUUCUGUAUUACCUUAGGCUUCUCACUUUUGUCACGGGGCUAAUGAUCAGGAUAGUUGAAAAGUGUAUUAUAACGACAAUGGUUUUAAUUCAGCUUUGAAUACACAGUUUCUAAGCAAAAAUAAAAAAUGCCCACUAUUAACAGAAGAGGCUAGACAAUUAAGACUAGUACUUGAUAGAAAUUCACAAUGUUUCAGACCUGAGGAGAAAAAAAAAAAAAGGAAGGAAAUCUAGUUGUUCUAGACAUGACAAAAAAAACCAAAACCAAACAAACAAAACCAAAAGAACUCAGUUUUCUGAUUAUGUUCAAUGUCUACAGAAAAGAGAUCUGAGGUAUAAAUAAUUAGAUCUGGAAGCCUUGCUAUUUGAUCAACAGUAGGACUUAUUUGGCAUAAUACACAGUUCGUGACAUAAAACACAUACACAGUUCGUAAUAUGCAAUUCAUAUUACAUUAAUGUCAACAAAUUUAAUUUAGUAAAAUAAUAAAUAUAAAAUGUAUUAGUUAUUGUUCUGGAUUUAUUAAAUAAUAUUACUAUAAAAUAUUAAACCAUACAAAAUUUAAAAACAAUGCCAUCAAUAUUUGUAUUAAUAGAAACUGAAAAAAGCAGAAGCAUUGCCAUCUAGCUCAAAGACAGAUACCUGCUCUAAAGUCCAGAGUUUAGAUGGAUCCAAAGGCAGGUGGCACAUAACAGUAAAAGACAAAAAGUAUAUCAUGCUAAGGAUUAUGGUGAACCCUGGAGCCUAGGUGCAUGAAACUUUUUGUAAAGAAGGACCAACAUUGUCUGAAUGAGAGGACUGAGUGGUUUUACAGGGAAUGAUAUGCUCCCAUAUGCUGGGAGAGGAAUUUUGAAACUAUUCAGUAGGUUCAUGGAACGAGCUGGGGAUUUGAUAAAUAAAGUAAAGGAUGCAACAGAAGAGUGUUUUUUUUCUCCUCACUACAGAGUGACUGACAAAGCCUGAAUGCAGCUUGGAAGAUGGUGAUUCUGAAUCACUGAGGUAGGAGGAAAAUAAUGAAAAGGUAUAACAAACACAGAAGACUUAAGAAGACAGAUUUCAAGAAACUCUGGGGAACUGGAAACUAAAAUCCCUGUCAGAGAAAGUCCAAGAGCUGAUAGUGUCUCAAGGAAAUAUUAUUAAGCAUAAUUCCCAGCUAUAUUUUAGGAACUGGAUUUAGCAGUCUCUGGAUUGAAAAUGGGUAUUUUAGAUCUUGUGGAGCAUGACUGAGGGUUCAGAAGAAAGUUCAAACAGAUCCACCAUUUUGUUUUUAAGGGGCAGCUGGGAAAAUUAUAUAGACAGUUCAUGGAAAAUACUGCAGCAAAUAAUUAAGCAAACUCUGUAUAAACUAAUAGAGUGUAUAAGCAGAUAGAAUUUAACAGGAAGAUGAGUAACUCCCAAAAUGCAUUUGAGAAAAAAUUCUACUCUCACUCUUCUAAUUAGAAGCUCAACUAGUUUUGUAUUUCUGCAAUCUGUUACUGCAUAGAUAUAAAAUACAUUGUCCAGAAAGAUAACUACUUUUGCCAUUAGACAAUAUGGCAUAUUAACAUGAAACAUAUUAGAAGUGACAAUGUAUUUAUGUAGGUGAACUUAUAUUUUUGUUAAUUUCCUAAAAUUUUCUGAUCCACUCCCCAAUACUAUCAGCAGAACUGACACUAUAGAACAUCUUUCUGAUUAUCUAAAUAAAUUGCCCACCAGUAUAUGAGUGGAAAUCAGACCUUUUUUUUUUCCCCAAUAUCAUAUACUCCCAGAAAAGGACUGAAUAUGUUUGCAAAGGCAGAGAGAGAAAGUUUAUUGGGAUAAUUUAUUUGAGAAAGAAAAGACUGUUCUCAGGGUUAUCUUAUACUUUAUGAGCAAAAGCACUUGGAGUAGAUAAAUGUGUAGAUAUUUGAAUACAAAGAAAGCAUGUGCAUGGAAAUUCCUUGCCUGUUAAUGCAAGAAGUUAAACAUUUUGACAAUAGUACACUCCAAGAUAACUGGGAGGGACACACACAUUUAUAUAGUAAACCAGAACAAUUGAGAUGAAAUAAUAUAUAUAGUCUAAUAAAAGUUUGUAUUACUGCCAAGAAGUGUUCAUGCCAAAAAUGUUCUGCAGCACAGCUGCCAAAAAAAAUCUGAGAGCAUUAUGAAACACGCUAAAUCUAUACAUAGAGGGGCUUAGAGAAGAAAAAAAAAAAGUAUGUUUAUUCUUAGGAUUCAAGUGUAUCAAAUCAUUAUGGUUAUUUUAUGCACAAUAAGCAAGGCUCUGAGCAUGCUGGCAAGCAUUCAACAGAGCAUUUGUGCUGCUUGAGGACCAUGUUGGUCGUUAAAUUCAGGAGGAAGGCUGAAAAAAGCCAUAAUUAACUUGACUGUUUGAGACAAGCUAAACAUCCAAAUUGAUGUAAAAACUUCCAUGUGUUGUUAGAUAUAACUUAAUAACAUUCCUGUCAUUGCUAAGCAGACUCAGCUCCCAAUGAAGGUGAUUUGAGAUACACAGAACAGCCAUCCUGGGGUCUACUUUGAAAAAGAUGAAAAGUGGGUUGCCAUUGCUGCCAUGUGGCCUUCAAAUGAGUACUUCCAUGAGGAACUUGGAGAGCCUUAGGAAGCCUUCCUAGUUUGCAGUUUCCAAAACAGUAUUCUCACCACCAGGUUCUGAGGGCUAGAUCAUGAAUUUUUAGCUUUUGUCUUGAAGACAGUCCACUGAACAGUCAAAAAUAUCAAGAUUCAGGCAUCCAGGAAGGGACCUGGAAACCAAAGGCCAGUGACAAGGCAUGACAACCUGGGAGAGGGAGCUGCCAUGUUCUGAGAAGAGACUAAAGGGCUAUGGCCACACUUCGGAGCAGAGAACGCUGAGAGAUGACAGACCGAGGUUUAAAAUUCAUGAAGGCAGAGGCUGAGGUGAACACAGAACUGUUGUUUACCAAAUCCCACAAUACUGGAACCAAAGGGCACUCAAUGACAUAGCAGGAGGUGAGCUUAAAAUAGCCAGAAGAAAGUACUUCUUUACACAGCAGGUAUCGAACUUUUGGAACUUACUGCCACAGGAGGGUUUUUUUUAAUGUUCAUCUGUGAAAAAGGAUUUCAGACAUGUUCUCCUCCUUAUUCCUUGUUGUGGGCUGGCUAAAGCUUCUCAGUGCUUAGAUCCCUUGUAACACCUGAUGCAGGAGCUUAAAAUUCCUCUUUUUGAUUGCUGCAUGGUGUCUUCAGCUCUUACCUCAACAUUAUGAAUUUAAUGAUUAGGAGUGUGCUCUUAGCUUCAAAGUAUUACAGCUCUACCUGCAAUGGAGUCUGACAGUUUUUGUUCAGUAUCUGCCUUUUUGUCUAUGAAGAUACACAAGCAGGCACAUCAAUUUCUUUUCCAGGAAAGCAGUUUAAUUUACAUAGCAUUCUCAAGCUUCGCUGUGAAAUAGGAUGCAACAAAUAUGCCAUUGGGAAAGAGAGGUAAAUCACAAGUGUGUGUGAUAGGUGGCUUAAUACAGGUGGUAGGAGAGAGAAAUAACUAGAAAUUUUGAUUUGCAAGCCAAUAGCUUCAGGAAUGAUACUCCUUCAGAUUAUGGCAAGAUUAAACGGGAAUCUCUCUUCUUCUACCAAUAACACAGCAGGAAUUUCUGAGUAUGACACCUGCUUUUGAUGGGGUGUGAAGUUCAUGGUUGAAUUUCUUCUCUACUUCUUCCUUUAUCACAAUAUACAUUGAAGAGAGAACACAGUUUCAGAUUUAUUUGUCUUGCAAACAGGAGAGAAAAAGUGACCUCUGAGCUGAUUUCAUUUCUGCAUUAUUUCUGAUUCCAGACAUACAAAUGUGUGAGACAGACAAAAGCUGAAAAAAUUUUUAUUUGUUUUCAUAAGACAAGCAUUUUUCUUCAUAUCUUUUUUUCACAAUUAAUUGUUGUUAUCACUAUUUCAAUUAUGAUUUUCAAUUGUUAUGAUCAAGCAUCUUGGAAUUAAGGUUAAUAACAAACGUCAGAAUAAAAAAUAAUUAGGAUGGUGGUGUCAUGAAAUCUUAAAUUCUAAUUUCAAUUUAAAUCAGCCCUUUGAUAAAAUCUAAACUGAUUUUAAUGGCUGAAGAAGGGCAGAGAGAAGACUGAAGUAUUCUGCACCAUAAAGAAAUAAUUAAGUAAUAAAGAAAACAGUACAAUUGAAACCAGUAGUUCUUUCUUCUACAAAGCCCUGGCUAGUAACAUGGUGCUGGCUCACUUCAUUUCCAGCUGCUAGAUUUCACUAAAAGAAGCUAAAAAUAAAUUCAAUACUUUCCUAAAAUGACUUUCCCGUGUAAGCAAGUGUUGCAGUUGCCAUAGGGAUGUUAUAACAUCAAAAAUGGGAAGCAGUUCACUUAGUGGUAAAUAAGCACACUGGUAGGCAAGUUAUCCAUUUGAGCACGUCUCAAAGAAGAAAACUCUCAGGCUAUAUUUUUGAGGCAGGGGUAAAAAGAAAAAGAACUUUAGAUUUAGUCCACAACAGUGCAGAUCACUGAAUGUAGGUUUUCACAGGUGGGAGCAUCUGUGGAGACGUAAGACGCUUACUGCCUAUGCCUAGUGCUCUUGCACCUAACUUUAGGACCUACACCUUCUAUUGAAAAGAGAUAAAAAUUUUGAAAACAUCUUUAAAUUCUGUGAAAAUGAAAACAUCAUCCUGUUCUUACAUUUACCAUUUGUCCAGUGAUCCAGGAGCUGUCCAGCCCUUCUCCUUUGCAACGCAUUAAGUGACUGAAUUCUAGUAGUACACAAUUUGCCCUAUACUACCCAUUUAUUUUAAAAGUUAAUACAAAUAAACACAAACAUGCCUAACAAGCCAAUUAAAUUCAUUUCCAAGGUUUCUUCAUAAUGUUCUACAUCAUAAAAUUUCAAAGGUCAGAUGAUAUAAAUAACCAGUGACUUCACUGAAGUUGAUACUACUGUCCUGAUUUACAACAAGUAGUAAUCUAAACUCAGCACUCAAGUAUUGCAUUCUGUGCUCAACCCAGAAUAGAAAACAAAUGGCUGGUUAACAAAUACCAUGGAAACAAGAAAAAAAAGUACAAAUCCUAUAAAGAAUCAAAUCGGAAAAAAAAGAAGAAAAGCCAGAUUGUCUGUAGUUAAAAUAGAAUUAACUGGGAUUCUGCAACAAGAUCAUUAAAAUACAAAAUAUUAUGAUAGUUUCUACAUUUUUGUACGUGCCUUUGGUACAUGUUUGAAAGAGUUUUUCUUUUAAGGCUGACAGUUUUACCAGUCUUAGAACGUCAUUACCAACCUGCUGUUCUGAACCCAGCUUCGAAGGGGUCCCUUUCCCAGUCAGCUCUUCCCCAUGUGCUGAAUCAAGCCCUCUGAAUUGCCCUCCCACAACACUUUUGUUUCUCUGUUUUGUACCCGUACUCACCUGUUUCCCCAGAUAAAUAGUCAAAAGUUUAGGUUUCCCCCUGAAGUGUGGCCCAUUCAUUUUGCAGUAUAUAUACAGCUACAGAGUGAAUAGUAAAGCUCAGCCUGGUCAGGGAUGUUGACCAGUAAACAUUCCCUCUCUUCACUUAUUCCUGUCUGGGAUUUAACCUGCCUACAUUUAAGGCUCCAUUUUACAAUACUAGGUACAUAGCAGAGGACAAGUGCUCAAACACAACAUCUACAUCCCAAAGUAGGCUCUGUAAGCAGAUCAUAUCAGGUUUCAUGUUAACCCCAAUGUCAGGACAGAAUUAGUUACAAGAAUCACCCACCAUCUUCCUUGAUAUACCUCAAACUGAUAUUAUUUGGGACCAUGUGGCUGGCCAAGAGCAGCAGAUGCAAACAAGCCAGAUAGAGUUUGAAUUGCAGUGUAAAAAGUAACUACACUAACUUGAAAAUUUGAGAUUUUUCCCCAGUUUUUCAGUGUCCAGUGUUCGGAGCUUGGUGGCUAGGAGAGAAUGAGUCUUAACCAGUGGAUAUCUAAAUGGUACUUGGUCAGAUUACUACCAGGGCUGCUAGAAUCCCACAGACCAGUCUGGACUAUAAGUGAGAUACAAGUCAUCUCUGCAGCUUUUAACAAAGAGACUUGUAUAUUGCACUACAGGCCUGGAUUUCCUUUAUGGUCAAGAGGGAGAAAUGACAUUAGAUAGGCUGAAUUAAUCUAGCUAUUUUAAAGAUGUACUCAAGCAUGAGAUAGAUAAGGUGAAUUGUGCUCAGGAUAUGCCUAUUUAUCUCCUUCAGUUAUAAUGGAAAAGUAGAAUGAACAACUCAGAUGUGUACAUUUACAUGACAAAUUUCUACAUUUGGGGAGACAAAAAUCACCUUGGCUGCUCAUACUGUCCUUGCAAGCAGUCAGCAUUCACUCUGAGUUUAGCUCGUCUGCAGAUGCCAUGCUCCUUUGUAGAAGACAAUGCCAGAAACUUCCUUAGAAGGAUCUCAGAAGCUUUACAGGCAACAACUGAUAGCAAGGGCACAUGUGGCAGCUGGGAACUACAAAAUAUGGUAUCAUCCACUCACAGAGUGUGUGUGUCAAAUGCACAGAAAGGGCUGCUGGUCAGCUCUGGAAAUACCACCAGGGUUGCCUCUCUCCCUGCUCCAAGUGGGAAAGUAGCAUUAAUAGACAGCCAUUGCAGUGUCCAUGGCAGGAGAGAGGCAGUCCCGCAGGGCUGUGUGGGUAUCCUUUUUGUCAGGGUCUAGUGCCCAGUGUGUUGCCUCUUGGUCUCCUUCCCUUUGACCUGUUCAUGUCCUUCUGCUAAAACACCCAGUCACCCAGCGAGAGACAUCAUGCCUUUUGGUUAUACAGUGACUCUCUGGAGAGAUGCCAGUAUGUUUCUCUGUGAAUACUUCAGCAUUUUAUUCACAUUGAAAUAGCGUCAAGAAGAAGAGGGUAGAAAACACUUUCCUCUGAAAAACCCCACGAUGUAGUCUUAUCAGGCACGCAAAGGUGGGAUUUUAAGCAAAAUGUAAAUUGAAUACUUGUCUCUCAGCCCCUCUAUUCUAAGCAGUGAGCUAUUGCUCAAAAAGCAAUAGUCCUCCUUUCUCCCUAUGCUUUAAUAAGUUUGUGCUUUAUGUCUUUUAUCACAAGUGGCUGAACAUGAAAUAUGCUGGAAAUGGCAGGAACAGUUGGUUUCAAUAUUUCUGAACAAUUUCUUUCAACCCAACAUGAACUAUAUUCAAAAACUAUCUUGUAAGUUUUGCUUUUGGCAAAAAUUAUAAGAAGAUACUGACCUAAAUGUACAGUGAUUAUUCGUUGUCCCAAAGUGCUCUUUACAAUGAAAAAGGUACUUGAAAAAAAUAUGAUCCAGCUGUCCUAACUGUCUAGUACAAUGGCCUAAUGAGCAAUGUGAUCCAAUAGUUGAUUGAAGGUAGAGCUGAUUUUAUAUAGUACUGGAGAAGACUCCAAAGGAUACAGAAAAGCAGAACAGACCCUUGUGUAGACUUUAGUACUUUGAAAAGCCAGGGAGCACACUGCAGGACAAAAAGUCUCAUGAAAUGACAUGAAGCUCUUCCUGAAACUUCACCUAUUGAACAUUUUUUUUUUUUAGAAGUAACACUAAUCUGGAAGAAAAAUAAUGUCCAGAUAGAUGUCAACUUCCAUAUUUUAUUACAUUUUUGUGUAUAUAUCUAGUUUAUAUAUGUAUAACUCUAUAUAUAGUUAUAUGUACAAUUUUAUAUUAAUCAUGACUAGAAAAUUUUGCCUGAUGUCUACAGCCUCUUUCUGUUUACGUGUAUACAUAAGUAUAGGUAUAAAUGUACAUCCAUACACACAUAAAUGCAUAUAUAGAAUAAGAAAGUUUUCCAGUUUUCCAAAUACACUGAAUACAUAUGAAAGUACAUACAAUCAGCACAGAAUGAUUGUAUAUAUGGUGAAGUGGCCUUUGUAAUUUUUUUUGUGGUGUUUAAAGGGCACUCUGAUGUGAAGAUUAUAACUCCAGUGAGCCUUUAUAUAACAAAAUAUAAGAUGAAGGAGAGACCUCUGUCAGAUGCUUUCCUAAAUGUCUCUAACAACCGUGGCUGAAUCUUCUCCCCUCUGGGGAGCAAUGGUGCUGCUACACCUCCAGUUUUUGCUGAUAUAGGGACUCCUGUUUCUACUUUGUUGUCAUGAAAUGCAAGAUGGUGGUCAGGUGAAGAUAAAAUUUUAAAUGUUAAAUUAAUGUUUCAUUUUUGUUGUGUUUGUGUCAGUUGUUUACAGAUGAAUAGAUAACUGAGUAGAAACACAGUUAAGCAGUUGAAUACGCAUGAGUACAUACUGUAAUUUACAGUCCUGUCUUUAUCGAGGUAUGAGAGUGAUACUGGUAUUGUCAUCAAGGCAACUGCCCACUGUGGCUGGGUUAUGCACCCCAGUAGCAAAACUAAAAUAUAGAGUUCCUUUGAAGUGGCAGAGGUGUGUCUGUUGGAAUAUUGCAGCCACAGCAGGCUGUCCAAGCUGUGCAAGAUGUGAAGAGAUGAACCAGUUCUGCUGACAGUAAGUCCCUGUAUCCUAAUUCAACCUGUAGAUAAAACUCAGUCAAGUUUCUCCUGGUUCCUGACAUACGAGGCAUGAUUUUCUCAUGCUGAAGGUGGUCACUGAGGAGGUUGCUGGACAGGAUAAACUGCCAGUGGCUGCCCCGUGUUAACCCUUUCCACCACUGGAUUUACUGACAAGCCUUCAAGCAGUGGAAAUUUUUCUGCACACAGAUAGACAGGAACGAACUCAGCUGGAAAACCUAAUAUUUUCUCCUGUCAGGGCACUCCAGAGAAUUGACUGCCAAAGUUUCCUCAAUCUGAAAAAACAUUAGUAGGACCGCCAUUUUCAUUAAGACCUUCGUCUGUCCUCACAGAGUUUAUUCCUCUCCUCUCUCUGCUUCUUGUGCAACAUUUUUGCAAAUGAACUAAAUAGUAAAUUCUUACCAUAGUAUAUAUGGGAGCCGACAGAUAUGCUGAGCUGGCACUACUUGCUAGAUACGUUAUAUGUCAGCUAUCUUACAUCAGAUUCACUACGGUGGCAGCCGUAUCAUGCCAGCUUCUGACAGCAUAUGCUACAAUAGCUUUUGCAGCUUCUGAUAAGGCCAGCUGUGGAAUUAUAGAAAGUAAGGCUAGAUAUGACAUGGCAAUUCAUGGAGUUUGUCCCUCUACCCAAAGACAAGAUCAGCUGCUUCUGAACAAUUCUUGAAAGAUGACCAUCUUACUGGUUCCUAAAACUGAGCAGUGAUAACAAUUCCACAAUCCCAGGGAAAAGUAUUCCAGUAAAUAACCAUCAGACAGUUGGUAUUGCUUUUUUUAUAAUGCCUAACAUAAAUCUUCCUUGCUACAAUUUAUGUUUAUUACCUCAAGUUCUGUUCUCAAAGAAUCGUGAGCAUAGUUUAUUUUCUUCUUCUUUGGCAGUUACCUUUAAAAUAUGUGAAGAGUGUUAGCCCAUCUUUCC
Molecule: long non-coding RNA, 25270 nt
Organism: Columba livia (rock pigeon)
Lineage: Eukaryota; Metazoa; Chordata; Aves; Columbiformes; Columbidae
Exons: 10
Source: RefSeq, a predicted model, not a curated record